CAGCUAUAMUUUACUUGAUCUUGACACAAUCCUACUUGGAUAACUGUGGUAAUUCUAGAGCUAAUACAUGCAUUAAAGCUCUGACCUCACGGAAAGAGUGCAUUUAUUAGAACAAAACCAAGCGGCUUCGGCUGUUUCUGGUUGACUCAUAGUAACUGAGCUGAUCGCAUGGUCUUGCACCGGCGACGUGUCUUUCAAGUAUCUGCCGUAUCAACUUUCGAUGGUAGUGUAUCUGACUACCAUGGUGAUCACGCGUAACGGAGAAUAAGGGUUCGGCUCCGGAGAGUUCGCCUGAGAAAUCGCGAACACAUCUAAGGAAGGCAGCAGGCGCGAAAAUUACCCACUCUCAGCACGAGGAGGUAGUGACGAAAAAUAACGAGACCGUUCUCUUAUGAGGCCGGUCAUCGGAAUGGGUACAAUUUAAACCCUUUAACGAGUAUCUAUGAGAGGGCAAGUCUGGUGCCAGCAGCCGCGGUAAUUCCAGCUCUCAAAGUGCAUAGAAUUAUUGCUGCGGUUAAAAAGCUCGUAGUUGGAUCUGUGCCAUAGGACGUGGUCUACCUUCGGGUACGCACUACGCUCCUAGGCUUUUUGCUGGUUUUCCCGUCGUAGCCUUCACUGGUUGCGGCGGGUGGCUGGCGAGUUUACUUUGAGAAAAUCAGAGUGCUCAAUACAGGCGUAUCGCUUGAAUGAUUGUGCAUGGAAUAAUAGAAAAGGAUUUCGGUUCUCUUUUAUUGGUUUUGUGAACUGAGAUAAUGGUUAACAGGGACAAACGGGGGCAUUCGUAUCGCUGCGUGAGAGGUGAAAUUCUUGGACCGUAGCGAGACGCCCUACUGCGAAAGCAUUUGCCAAGAAUGUCUUCAUUAAUCAAGAACGAA
RNAcentral lists this ribosomal RNA (875 nucleotides) under Nematoda environmental sample. RNAcentral's name for it is "SSU rRNA". It matches the Rfam family "Eukaryotic small subunit ribosomal RNA", at positions 107 to 998 of the family's 1831-position model. Lineage: Eukaryota; Metazoa; Nematoda. The record is from RNAcentral.